UUGUCGUCAGCUCGUGUCGUGAGAUGUUGGGUUAAGUCCGCAACGAGCGCAACCCCUAUUGCUAGUUGCCAUCAUUCAGUUGGGCACUCUAGCGAGACUGCCGGUAAUAAACCGGAGGGAGGUGGGGAUGACGUCAAAUCAUCAUGCCCCUUAUGACCUGGGCUACACACGUGCUACAAUGGUUGGUACAACGAGUUGCGAGUCGGUGACGGCGAGCUAAUCUCUUAAAGCCAAUCUCAGUUCGGAUUGUAGGCUGCAACUCGCCUACAUGAAGUCGGAAUCGCUAGUAAUCGCGGAUCAGCACGCCGCGGUGAAUACGUUCCCGGGCCUU
RNAcentral lists this ribosomal RNA (331 nucleotides) under uncultured Streptococcus sp. Its description in RNAcentral is "bacterial SSU rRNA". It matches the Rfam family "Bacterial small subunit ribosomal RNA", at positions 1049 to 1382 of the family's 1533-position model. The record is from RNAcentral. Lineage: Bacteria; Bacillati; Bacillota; Bacilli; Lactobacillales; Streptococcaceae.